CUCUUUCCCCUCCCCUUCCUCUUGCUAGCACCUGACCAACAGGCACCAGAUCUGACAUCCCACACCAAGCUUGGCUUCGCUGCUGUGCCUCCCAGAUCCCGAUCUCCCCAUGCCUCCUCCGAUCCCUCGCUGACCCCGCCGCCGCGAUGGCGUCGCGCCCGCCCCUCCGCACCGCCUCCGCCGCAUCCUACUCCUCCACCGACUCCCCCACCUCCGCUGGACCCCCCGGCGGCGUUCCGCAGUCCAUCACCGCGCUCCUCAACAACCCUCUCACCUCCGCCGCCUCCUCCUACUGGCUGCCCUGGCCGCCCCCGACCCCACUCACCGACGCGGUUCCCCCGCCGCCGUCGCACCCCUGCGAGGUCACCCGCGCCGACUUCGCGCCCUACCUCGCCGCGGUCUCCGAACCCUUAGCGCGCUUCGCCGACAUCCGCCUCCACGCCAACGCCGAGCUCGCCGCCUCCGACGACGCCUCCGCCGCACCCGCGUCCUCCGGCCUCGCCGCAUGCCUCCGCGAGGUCCCCGCACUCUUCUUCAAGGAGGACUUCGCGCUCGAGGAUGGGCCCACCUUCAGGGCCGCGUGCCCGCUCGACGACGACGGGCUGCAGGAGCGCCUCGGCCAGCACCUCGACGUUGUGGAGCAGCACCUCGUGCGGGAGAUCGCGCUGCGGUCCGAGUCCUUCUACGAGGCGCAGGGCCGGCUGCGCGCGCUCGACGGGGAGAUUGUUACGGCGGUAGGGAGGAUCCGCGACCUCAGGGAGGUGGUCCGGGUGCUCACGGGGGGCCUUGUUGGGGCAGCGCGGCAGGUGCAGGAACUCAAUGCGACGAGGGGCAACCUUGUCGCCCUGCAGCAGAAGCUCACUGUCAUCCUCUACGUCAGCCAGGCGCUCGCAGCGCUCAAGCUGCUUGUUGCAGCAGCAGACUGUGCUGGUGCCCUUGAUGUCAUCGAUGACUUGCAAAAUUUGCUGGAUACAGAUGAACUUACUGGUCUUUAUUGCUUUCGAAAUAUUCGAGAUCAGCUGGGAACAUCACUAGAUUCAGUGUACAGCAUUCUUUCAGCAGAAUUUGUGCACGCUGCUGUUCCUGAUGGAAAAGCUGUAGAUGCAAUGAUUUUAUCAAAUGUCAAAAGAAAAGCUUCCAGCCCACUGAAUGGGAUAGAGCAUGAGGUAAACAUUGACGAGGAGGAAAGAUUUGUUCUUAGAGAUCGACUCCUCCCCCUCAUUAUUUGCCUGCUGAGAACGGACAAACUUCCUGCAGUUCUCAGAAUUUACCGGGAUACGCUUAUCACUGUUAUGAAAGCUUCAAUCAAAGCCACUGUAGCAGAUUUGCUUCCAGUUUUAACUGCCAGACCAAUAGAUUCUGAUUCAGUAACUGGAGACAGAGCUGCCGAUUCUGAUGCUGGAGGCCAGUCCCUAGCAAAUAAGUUGCGAAGUCUGUCAUCUGAAGGGUUUGUUCAACUUUUAUCAGCUAUUUUUAGGAUAGUACAGAUACAUUUACUGCAAGCAGCUGAAGUGAAAAGAAUAGUUGAGUGGAUCAUGGGAAACCUUGAUGUUAGUAAUCCUACGCUUCAACAUGGUGGUUCAGCUGUUUCUGAUAUUUCCCAAGAGAAUGACUAUAGUGUUUCUUCACGGGUCUCUAAUACUCUUACACGGAGUACUUCCAAGAUCCCAUUGGUCCAAGGAAAAGCAAAUGAUUUAUCCAUUACAAAUUCAAUAAAGAAUGUCCGGGCUGAUGUCUUGAGAGAAAACACCGAAGCAGUUUUUGCCGCAUGUGAUGCUGCCCAUGGGCGAUGGGCUAAGCUGCUGGGUGUCCGUGCUGCUCUACAUCCCAAGUUAAGGCUCCAGGAGUUCUUGAUCAUCUACAAUAUAACAGAAGAGUUUAUAGCUUCUACUGAAAAGAUUGGAGGCAGGUUGGGUUACAACAUUCGUGGAAUCCUACAGCAACAAUCAAAACAAUUCGUUGAUCAUCAGCAUAGUGUUCGGAUGACAAAAAUCAAGGCAGUUCUUGACCAAGAGACGUGGGUUCUUGUUGAUGUUCCGGAAGAGUUCCAAGCAAUUGUUCUUUCACUGUCAUCCACCUAUUCUUCUGUUAACGGCAUGGGGAUGCCUAGCACUGAUGAUAACUCUAAGUUCAAUGAUCAUGGGCCUACAAGUCAAGAACUGGCAUGUUCAGCUGAAAAUAAUGCUGAUAAUGGCAAAGUAACAUCUGUGACAGGCCAUGAAAGCAAGAUUGAGUCCACUUCUCUUCAGACUGAAAAUAGUGUUGUUGGGAAUGCCAGGUCAACCUCGCAGACCAUUGUACAUGGAGGUGUUGGCUAUCAUAUGGUAAACUGUGGUUUGAUAUUGUUGAAGAUGUUAUCAGAAUAUGUUGACAUUAGUAAAUGUUUACCAUCAUUAUCUUUUGAGGUGGUCCAACGUGUUGUGGAAAUACUGAAGCUUUUCAACACUAGGACUUGCCAACUUGUUCUUGGUGCAGGCGCCAUGCAGGUUUCUGGUCUUAAAUCAAUUACUUCUAAGCAUUUAGCUUUGGCGAGCCAAAUUAUUAGCUUUAUAUAUUCGUUAAUUCCAGAUAUCAGGCGAGUACUUUUCCUGAAAAUACCUGAAGCACGCAAACAGCUGUUAAUGUCUGAACUGGAUAGAGUCACUCAGGAUUACAAGAUUCAUCGAGAUGAAAUUCACAGCAAGCUUGUCCAGAUAAUGAGAGAGAGAUUGCUAGCAAAUCUUAGAAAAUUACCCCAAAUUCUGGAGGGUUGGAAUGGACCAGAGGAUAAUGAUUUGCAGCCAAGUCCAUUUGCUAAAGCCGUUACAAAGGAAGUAACUUAUUUGCAUCGCAUCCUUUCUCAAACAUUGCUUGAGGUUGAUGUGCAAACAAUAUUCAGGCAAGUAGUUCAAAUAUUCCAUUCACAUAUUACAGAAGCAUUUUCAAAAUUGGAAGUUAGUACUCAGGCAAAGAACAGAUUGUGCCGAGAUAUUCAGCAUAUUCUUGCAUGUAUCCGGAAGUUGCCUACUGAGAAUUUCAGUGCAGAAACUAUUCAAAAUUAUGGUCUUCUUGAUGAAUUCUUGGCUGAGAACUUUGGGACGAAAGUUGAUGAAUGAUUUACUGUACAUUAAGAACUGACUCAUAUCUGCAAAUGUUCACUCGUGGAAAAUAUGUUAAAUGGGAAGUGCUCCAAGACAUUGCCAUUUUUGGCAUAAAAUUCUGUGCAGUGAUAACCAUGCAGGUAUUGCUGUGCGGUGCAGUGAAAAACGAGCUCCCUUAAUGACAUCAAAGUAACAUCUUGACGCUCAUGCACUUCCCAAGAUGAAAGUUUUGCUCAAUAGCUCUGUCAUGUCAGGCCACAUUUCUUUCUUUCUUUCUUUCUUUCAAUAGUAUUUUGAUCCCGCUUUGGGGUGCUAAUAUUGGUUAGAUGCUGUUAUAGAGGGAACCUGAGAGGUUUUGGCAGCACGACCUAUUCUUUGCAUGGUGCUUCAUGCUGUUAGGUUCAAUGUAUGGAACAUGCUGUCGAGAUGACAGCCCAUGUAUUUUGUUCCUGUAAGGUUUGUAAUUAUUCAUCUUGGUGCGAAAAUAAGCAAUUGUUAUAUGCUCAUAGGCAAAGCUUCAAGCUGUGCAUUGAUAUAUACAGGAAACUUGCAGUUUAUUUGUA
RNA transcript from Phragmites australis (common reed), 3643 nucleotides. It is a transcript of the gene named vacuolar protein sorting-associated protein 54, chloroplastic-like, with no coding region annotated. Lineage: Eukaryota; Viridiplantae; Streptophyta; Magnoliopsida; Poales; Poaceae. The record is from RefSeq and is a predicted model, not a curated record. The transcript is spliced from 19 exons.